This 386-nucleotide unclassified non-coding RNA is filed under the name soil metagenome. RNAcentral describes it as "partial contains 5.8S ribosomal RNA, internal transcribed spacer 2, and large subunit ribosomal RNA". The stretch from base 1 to 120 matches the Rfam family "5.8S ribosomal RNA", at positions 35 to 154 of the family's 154-position model. The record is from RNAcentral.
GAUGAAGAACGUAGUGAAAUGCGAUAAGUAAUGUGAAUUGCAGAAUUCAGUGAAUCAUCGAAUCUUUGAACGCACCUUGCACCCUUUGGUAUUCCGAAGGGUAUGCUCGUUUGAGUGUCAUUGUACUCUCACACUUCUAAUUCCUUUCGGGAUUGGGAGCGGUGGACUUGGGUGUUGCUGCUUUAGUUGUGGCUCACCUCAAAUAAGUUAGUGCAACUCUUGGUUGGACAUAGUACGGCGUGAUAAGUGUCUUCGCCGGCGCCUCUGUAAGGAGGGUGGCCGAUCGGGAGCUCUGUGCUUCAAACCGUCUUCGGACAAUCUUUGACAACUUGACCUCAAAUCGAGUAGGACUACCCGCUGAACUUAAGCAUAUCAUAAGCGGAGGA